RNAcentral lists this ribosomal RNA (433 nucleotides) under uncultured bacterium. RNAcentral's name for it is "partial 16S ribosomal RNA". It matches the Rfam family "Bacterial small subunit ribosomal RNA", at positions 29 to 507 of the family's 1533-position model. The record is from RNAcentral.
AACGAACGCUGGCGGCAUGCCUAACACAUGCAAGUCGAACGAGACCUUCGGGUCUAGUGGCGCACGGGUGCGUAACGCGUGGGAACCUGCCCUUAGGUUCGGAAUAACUCCCCGAAAGGGGUGCUAAUACCGGAUAAUGUCUUCGGACCAAAGAUUUAUCGCCUUUGGAUGGGCCCGCGUUGGAUUAGCUAGUUGGUAGGGUAAAAGCCUACCAAGGCGACGAUCCAUAGCUGGUCUGAGAGGAUGAUCAGCCACACUGGGACUGAGACACGGCCCAGACUCCUACGGGAGGCAGCAGUGGGGAAUAUUGGACAAUGGGCGAAAGCCUGAUCCAGCAAUGCCGGGUGAGUGAUGAAGGCCUUAGGGUUGUAAAGCUCUUUUACCCGGGAUGAUAAUGACAGUACCGGAAGAAUAAGCUCCGGCUAACUCCGUG